UAUAUACUCCCUCCGUCCCAAAAUUCUUGUCUUAAAUUAGUCUAGAUACGGAUAUAUCUAAUACUAAAACGUGACUUGAUAGUUGAUACAUCCGUAUUUAGACAAAUCUAAGACAAGAAUUUUGGGACGGAGGGAGUAUGUC
Non-coding RNA from Triticum aestivum (bread wheat), 142 nucleotides. The record is from Rfam. Lineage: Eukaryota; Viridiplantae; Streptophyta; Magnoliopsida; Poales; Poaceae.